AUGAAUUAUGCCCUUUCCCAGUACAAACUGGGACCCCCAACCCCUCCCCAGUAUGAACUGGGCCCAUUCCCAGUACAAACUGGGACCCCCAGCCCCUUCCCAGUACAAACUGGGCCCAUUCCCAGUACAAACUGGGCCCCCCAGCCCCAUCCCAGUACAAACUGCGCCCAUUCCCAGCACAAACUGGGACCCCCAGCCCUUCCCCAGUAUGAACUGGGAUCCCCAGACCCUUCCCAGUAUGAACUGGGCCCAUUCCACUGCAAACUGGGAACUUUCCCAGUACAAACCAGGGCUCCCAGCUCCAACCCAGCUCAAACUGGGAUUGUCCCCAGCUCAAACUGGGACCCCCAGCCCUUUCCCAGUAUGAAUUGGGCCCAUCCCAGUUCGAACUGGGCCCCCCAGCCCCAUCCCAGUACAAACUGGGCCCAUUCCCAGUACAAACUGGGCCCCCCAGCCCCUUCCCAGUAUGAAUUAUGCCCUUUCCCAGUACAAACUGGGCCCCCCAGCCCCUUCCCAGUACUAACUGGGCCCAUUCCCAGUACAAACUGGGACCCUCAGCCCUUUCCCAGUACACACUGAGCACUGUCCCAGUGUAAACGGGAACCCUCAGCCCCAGUACAGAUUGGAAUUCCCAGUCCUGUCCCAGUAGAAACUGGGCCCAUUCCUAGUCUGAACUGGGAUUCCCAGCCCAGUCCCUUCCCAGCCCAAACUGGGCACCCCCAGCCCCAUCCCAGUAUGAACUGGGCCCAGUCCCAGUAUGAAACAAGAUCCCCAUCCCCAUUCCAGUCCAAACUGGGACCCCCAGCCCCUUCCCAGUAUAAACUGGGACCCUCAACCCCAGCCCAGUACGGACUGGGCCCAUUCCCAGUACAAACUGGGCCCAUUCCCAGUACAAACUGGGACCCCCAGCCCCUUCCCAGUAUGAACUGGGACCCUCAGCCCCAGCCCAGUACGGACUGGGCCCUUUCCCAGUACAAACUGGGCCCAUUCCCAGUACAAACUGGGCCCCCCAGCCCCUUCCCGGUACAAACUGGGCCCAUUCCCAGUACAAACUGGGACCCCCAGCCCCUUCCCAGUACAAACUGUGCCCAUUCCCAGUACAAACUGGGACCCCCAGCCCCAUCCCAGUAUGAACUGGGCCCAAUCACAGUAUGAAAAAGGAUCCCCAGCCUCAUUCCAGUAUAAACUGGGACAAGUCCCAAUGUGAACUGGGCUCCCCAGCCCCUCCCCAGUAUGAACUCGGAUCCCCAGACCCUUCCCAGUAUGAACUGGGCCCAUCCCACUACAAACUGGGAGCCUUCCCAGUACAAAAUGGAAUCACAAGCCCCAUCCCAGUAUGAACUGGGCCCAUUCCCAAUAUGAACUGGUCCCCCAAGACUCAUCCCGACUCAAACUGGGCCCAUUCCCAGUACAAACUGGUACCCCCAGCCCCUUCCCAGUAUAAACUGGAAUCCUCAGCCCCAGCCCAGUAAGAACCGAUCCCAUUCCCAGUACAAACUGGGACACUUCCCAGUACAAACUGGGCACCCACAGCCCCUUACCAGAACAAACUGGACACAUUCCCAGUAUAAACUGGGCA
This 1579-nucleotide long non-coding RNA is filed under the name Anas platyrhynchos platyrhynchos (common mallard). RNAcentral describes it as "lncRNA (ENSAPLG00000020805.1)". The record is from RNAcentral. Lineage: Eukaryota; Metazoa; Chordata; Aves; Anseriformes; Anatidae.